This 936-nucleotide ribosomal RNA is filed under the name uncultured bacterium. RNAcentral's name for it is "bacterial SSU rRNA". It matches the Rfam family "Bacterial small subunit ribosomal RNA", at positions 1 to 926 of the family's 1533-position model. The record is from RNAcentral.
CCUUAGAGUUUGAUCCUGGCUCAGGAUGAACGCUAGCUACAGGCUUAACACAUGCAAGUCGAGGGGAAACGAUAUUGGAAGCUUGCUUCCGAUAGGCGUCGACCGGCGCACGGGUGAGUAACGCGUAUCCAACCUGCCCACCACUUGGGGAUAACCUUGCGAAAGUAAGACUAAUACCCAAUGAUAUCUCUAGAAGACAUCUGAAAGGGAUUAAAGAUUUAUCGGUGAUGGAUGGGGAUGCGUCUGAUUAGCUUGUUGGCGGGGUAACGGCCCACCAACGAGGCGACGAUCAGUAGGGGUUCUGAGAGGAAGGUCCCCCACAUUGGAACUGAGACACGGUCCAAACUCCUACGGGAGGCAGCAGUGAGGAAUAUUGGUCAAUGGGCGAGAGCCUGAACCAGCCAAGUAGCGUGCAGGAUGACGGCCCUAUGGGUUGUAAACUGCUUUUAUAAGGGAAUAAAGUGAGCCUCGUGAGGCUUUUUGCAUGUACCUUAUGAAUAAGGACCGGCUAAUUCCGUGCCAGCAGCCGCGGUAAUACGGAAGGUCCGGGCGUUAUCCGGAUUUAUUGGGUUUAAAGGGAGCGUAGGCCGGAGAUUAAGCGUGUUGUGAAAUGUAGACGCUCAACGUCUGCACUGCAGCGCGAACUGGUUUCCUUGAGUACGCACAAAGUGGGCGGAAUUCGUGGUGUAGCGGUGAAAUGCUUAGAUAUCACGAAGAACUCCGAUUGCGAAGGCAGGCUCACUGGAGCGCAACUGACGCUGAAGCUCGAAAGUGCGGGUAUCGAACAGGAUUAGAUACCCUGGUAGUCCGCACGGUAAACGAUGGAUGCCCGCUGUUGGUCUGAAUAGGUCAGCGGCCAAGCGAAAGCAUUAAGCAUCCCACCUGGGGAGUACGCCGGCAACGGUGAAACUCAAAGGAAUUGACGGAAGGGCGAAU